GAUGAACGCUGACAGAAUGCUUAACACAUGCAAGUCGAUUCAAGUUACCUUCGGGUAACAAGGAUGGCGGACGGGUGAGUAACGCGUAAGGAACUUGCCUCUUGGUCUGGGACAACUGUUGGAAACGACAGCUAAUACCGGAUAUUAUGAGAUUCUCGCAUGGGAAACUUAUGAAAGCUAUAUGCGCCAAGAGGGAGCCUUGCGAGAAUCUCA
This 213-nucleotide ribosomal RNA is filed under the name uncultured bacterium. RNAcentral's name for it is "partial 16S ribosomal RNA". It matches the Rfam family "Bacterial small subunit ribosomal RNA", at positions 28 to 243 of the family's 1533-position model. The record is from RNAcentral.